This 1171-nucleotide ribosomal RNA is filed under the name uncultured Bacteroides sp. RNAcentral describes it as "bacterial SSU rRNA". It matches the Rfam family "Bacterial small subunit ribosomal RNA", at positions 10 to 1176 of the family's 1533-position model. Lineage: Bacteria; Pseudomonadati; Bacteroidota; Bacteroidia; Bacteroidales; Bacteroidaceae. The record is from RNAcentral.
AGUUUGAUCCUGGCUCAGGAUGAACGCUAGCUACAGGCUUAACACAUGCAAGUCGAGGGGCAGCAUUUUAGUUUGCUUGCAAACUAAAGAUGGCGACCGGCGCACGGGUGAGUAACACGUAUCCAACCUGCCGAUAACUCGGGGAUAGCCUUUCGAAAGAAAGAUUAAUAUCCGAUAGUAUAUUAAAACCGCAUGGUUUUACUAUUAAAGAAUUUCGGUUAUCGAUGGGGAUGCGUUCCAUUAGUUUGUUGGCGGGGUAACGGCCCACCAAGACUACGAUGGAUAGGGGUUCUGAGAGGAAGGUCCCCCACAUUGGAACUGAGACACGGUCCAAAUCCUACGGGAGGCAGCAGUGAGGAAUAUUGGUCAAUGGACGAGAGUCUGAACCAGCCAAGUAGCGUGAAGGAUGACUGCCCUAUGGGUUGUAAACUUCUUUUAUAUGGGAAUAAAGUAUUCCACGUGUGGAAUUUUGUAUGUACCAUAUGAAUAAGGAUCGGCUAACUCCGUGCCAGCAGCCGCGGUAAUACGGAGGAUCCGAGCGUUAUCCGGAUUUAUUGGGUUUAAAGGGAGCGUAGGUGGAUUGUUAAGUCAGUUGUGAAAGUUUGCGGCUCAACCGUAAAAUUGCAGUUGAAACUGGCAGUCUUGAGUACAGUAGAGGUGGGCGGAAUUCGUGGUGUAGCGGUGAAAUGCUUAGAUAUCACGAAGAACUCCGAUUGCGAAGGCAGCUCACUAGACUGCAACUGACACUGAUGCUCGAAAGUGUGGGUAUCAAACAGGAUUAGAUACCCUGGUAGUCCACACAGUAAACGAUGAAUACUCGCUGUUUGCGAUAUACAGUAAGCGGCCAAGCGAAAGCAUUAAGUAUUCCACCUGGGGAGUACGCCGGCAACGGUGAAACUCAAAGGAAUUGACGGGGGCCCGCACAAGCGGAGGAACAUGUGGUUUAAUUCGAUGAUACGCGAGGAACCUUACCCGGGCUUAAAUUGCAAAUGAAUAAUCUGGAAACAGGUUAGCCGCAAGGCAUUUGUGAAGGUGCUGCAUGGUUGUCGUCAGCUCGUGCCGUGAGGUGUCGGCUUAAGUGCCAUAACGAGCGCAACCCUUAUCUUUAGUUACUAACAGGUCAUGCUGAGGACUCUAGAGAGACUGCCGUCGUAAGAUGUGAGGAAGGUGG